This 495-nucleotide ribosomal RNA is filed under the name uncultured bacterium. RNAcentral describes it as "partial 16S ribosomal RNA". It matches the Rfam family "Bacterial small subunit ribosomal RNA", at positions 28 to 507 of the family's 1533-position model. The record is from RNAcentral.
GACGAACGCUGGCGGCGUGCCUAAUACAUGCAAGUAGAACGCUGAAGGAGGAGCUUGCUCUUCUGGAUGAGUUGCGAACGGGUGAGUAACGCGUAGGUAACCUGCCUGGUAGCGGGGGAUAACUAUUGGAAACGAUAGCUAAUACCGCAUAACAUUGACUAUUGCAUGAUAGUCAAUUAAAAGGUGCAAAUGCACCACUACCAGAUGGACCUGCGUUGUAUUAGCUAGUUGGUGGGGUAACGGCUCACCAAGGCGACGAUACAUAGCCGACCUGAGAGGGUGAUCGGCCACACUGGGACUGAGACACGGCCCAGACUCCUACGGGAGGCAGCAGUAGGGAAUCUUCGGCAAUGGACGGAAGUCUGACCGAGCAACGCCGCGGGAGUGAAGAAGGUUGUCGGAUCGUAAAGCUCUGUUGUAAGAGAAGAACGAGUGUGAGAGUGGAAAGUUCACACUGUGACGGUAUCUUACCAGAAAGGGACGGCUAACUACGUG